Molecule: transfer RNA, 93 nt
Filed under: candidate division WS6 bacterium RIFOXYC1_FULL_33_10
Lineage: Bacteria
Also listed under: 1 other name
Description: tRNA-Ser
Rfam family: tRNA
About the family: Transfer RNA (tRNA) molecules are approximately 80 nucleotides in length. Their secondary structure includes four short double-helical elements and three loops (D, anti-codon, and T loops).
Source: RNAcentral
GGAGAGGUGCUAGAGCUGGUUGAAUAGGGCACACUCGAAAUGUGCUGUUUAGGAUAUUUUCCUGAACCGUGGGUUCGAAUCCCACCCUCUCCG